RNAcentral lists this ribosomal RNA (401 nucleotides) under uncultured bacterium. RNAcentral describes it as "bacterial SSU rRNA". It matches the Rfam family "Bacterial small subunit ribosomal RNA", at positions 355 to 773 of the family's 1533-position model. The record is from RNAcentral.
UGGGGAAUAUUGGACAAUGGGGGAAACCCUGAUCCAGCAAUGCCGCGUGAGUGAUGAAGGCCUUAGGGUUGUAAAGCUCUUUCGGUGGUGACGAUGAUGACGGUAGCCACAGAAGAAGCCCCGGCUAACUCCGUGCCAGCAGCCGCGGUAAGACGGAGGGGGCUAGCGUUGUUCGGAAUUACUGGGCGUAAAGCGCACGUAGGCGGCCUUUCAAGUCAGAUGUGAAAGCCCCGGGCUUAACUCGGGAACUGCAUUUGAUACUGUUGGGCUUGAGACCGGGAGAGGAUAGCGGAAUUCCCAGUGUAGAGGUGAAAUUCGUAGAUAUUGGGAAGAACACCAGUGGCGAAGGCGGCUAUCUGGACCGGUACUGACGCUGAGGUGCGAAAGCGUGGGGAGCAAAC